AACGAACGCUGGCGGCAUGCCUAACACAUGCAAGUCGAACGAGACCUUCGGGUCUAGUGGCGCACGGGCGCGUAACGCGUGGGAACCUGCCCUUAGGUUCGGAAUAACUCCCCGAAAGGGGUGCUAAUACCGGAUAAUGUCUUCGGACCAAAGAUUUAUCGCCUUUGGAUGGGCCCGCGUUGGAUUAGCUAGUUGGUAGGGUAAAAGCCUACCAAGGCGACGAUCCAUAGCUGGUCUGAGAGGAUGAUCAGCCACACUGGGACUGAGACACGGCCCAGACUCCUACGGGAGGCAGCAGUGGGGAAUAUUGGACAAUGGGCGAAAGCAUGAUCCAGCAAUGCCGCGUGAGUGAUGAAGGCCUUAGGGUUGUAAAGCUCUUUUGCCCGGGAUGAUAAUGACAGUACCGGGAGAAUAAGCACCGGCUAACUCCGUG
This 433-nucleotide ribosomal RNA is filed under the name uncultured bacterium. RNAcentral describes it as "partial 16S ribosomal RNA". It matches the Rfam family "Bacterial small subunit ribosomal RNA", at positions 29 to 507 of the family's 1533-position model. The record is from RNAcentral.